UACGAAGGGUGCAAGCGUUAUUCGGAAUUAUUGGGCGUAAAGGGUUCGUAGGCGGGAUCGUAAGUCAAGUGUGAAAUCUCCGAGCUUAACUCGGAACGUGCACUUGAAACUGCGUUUCUUGAGUCAUUGAGAGGGUGGUGGAAUUGUUGGUGUAGGAGUGACAUCCGUAGAGAUCAACAGGAACAUCAGAGGCGAAAGCGGCCACCUGGCAAUGUACUGACGCUGAGGAACGAAAGCGUGGGGAGCAAACAGG
This 253-nucleotide ribosomal RNA is filed under the name uncultured bacterium. RNAcentral's name for it is "partial 16S ribosomal RNA". It matches the Rfam family "Bacterial small subunit ribosomal RNA", at positions 524 to 776 of the family's 1533-position model. The record is from RNAcentral.